Long non-coding RNA from Photinus pyralis (common eastern firefly), 5177 nucleotides. RefSeq lists it as uncharacterized. The transcript has 6 exons. NCBI's taxonomy places the organism in Eukaryota, Metazoa, Arthropoda, Insecta, Coleoptera, Lampyridae. The record is from RefSeq and is a predicted model, not a curated record.
UGAAUUUGUUUUAUACGCAUUAAACGUGUUCCAAUAUUUUAAAGCAUAUGGUAACGCAUGCUAUUCAUUUCGAUACAAAAUUCGUGAACACGCUGAAAUUUGUAUAUCUGCCUAUAGACAUGUAAAGGAGGGGAAGGUAAUAACGUCCGAAGGUUUUAAUUCAAUUUGUGUUUGUUAAUAAAUUCGUGACCGUGUUCGUGUAGUGCCCGUAUCGUAUACCGUUUUCAAUCAAUUAUUCUGGCAGUACUUUGUGACUGAACUGAUUUUGGAAACAGUGAAAAAGAAUUUUUAUAGCCGAUUAAAAAGGAGUUCGGAUAAACAAGACGAAAAACCACACGCCCAACCUACUGCGGACGAUUUAGAUCUUGCAAAUGUUCUCAGGACUAAACGGAGAAAAAUUACAUUGUUAAGAAUGUCAAAUAGUACGUACAGUAUGUACAAUUGUACACGCAGUAUUUAUUUCACUCAAACAACCUACUUUGAAUGAUUUUGAUUACUAGAUUUUGAAGAUUACUCGAAUUUUGAGGGAUACAGAAGGGCGUCAUCUCAACGUUUGAUGGACGACUGUUAUAUUUUGAAAAAGACACCAUCCAAAUGAAAAUAAAUUUGCGCCAAUGAGAAUCUGGAAGAGCACUCCACGCAGCUGAUCUACCGCUCUUUUAGUCUUUGAUGGACGGCUAUUAUUUUUGGAAAAUAGGCCCAGAGCACCAAAUAAAAAAAAUUUGCAUCUUUGAGAGUGCCGAAGAGUGUAGGUACUACGCGCGCGAUGACUUAAUGGGCACUUUUCGUUUGUAUAAAACUAAUUGGGUUUUUCUUUGUGUUUUUUUUUUGUAAAUAUACUCUCCCUCACGGUGGGAAUGAGUGGACGUGACUGUGUUACCUACAGAAUUUGGAGGAGUACACUACAUAGAGGGUGCACCGCUUUCUCAGGGUUCUAUCCACAACUGCUAUAUUUUGGAAAUGAUGUCCGCACGACCAAUUGGGGACAAUAUGCAUAGUUGAGGUAGUAAACUAAUUUCUUCUUACCACGCGCCCAUUUAAUUGCACUUUGUUAAAUUUUGGGGUACCCUCCAUCACCAUGGAGACGAGCCGACAUGCUCUACGCUACAGAAUUUUGAGGAGCAUCCUACGCUUAGGGAUACCGCUACCUCAUCUGCUUUUGAUGAACGACUACCAUUUUUUGAAAAGCAUACCUCUUCCAAAAUGGACACCAGUUUCAUCUUUGAGAAUUUCCAGGAGUACUCAACGCUAUUCGCUCAAUCAGCUUAGCUAGAAUGUUUGUUGGAAUUUGGAAGAAGAUGGCUAUCCCAUGUCCACGUUUGGGACACUUGUUAUAUCUAAUUGGUUGGAGGUUACCUGAAAACCUCGUCCAAAUAAAGACAAAUUAAAAUAAAUUAAAGGCUCUUCUUUAUAUACCCUACCUACCCUUUUAUUUGUACCUAUUUCAUUUAUAUUCCAGCGCACUCACGCUGGAGAUGAGUUAUUGUGAUUAUGUUUCAGAAUGUUCAACGGCACUACUACGAGACCGUAGUCUUCUGUGGAUGAUUUGAAGAUGUCCCCAGUUUUAAAGAGAACAAUUUUCAUCGUAAAGGUAUUUUAGCUAAUGUGACCCUCUUGAAUUAUUCCUACGCAUUAUUUAUCACUGUGCGCCACUCUCCCAUACUAAUGUGAAUAUGUUUCAGAUGCUGAGUACCUACACCCAAUGUUCAGUCGUUGUUCUAAUAAAGGUAAAGGUAUGCAUUGCAGAAUUUCAUCCGUCUUAAUGGCUGUAUUGCAACCGCUUUCCCAUUUUCCUUUUGUUGUUGUACGACGUAUGUGAAGUUUCGUUCUGUUGAAAUAAAUUUUAGUGGAGGAAAUCUUUCACACAACAUCGGUAAAUGCGCGAGUAAAUUAAUAAACAGGUAAUAGUACUGUGUAUACACUUUUUGGACAUACCAUUUCAUUGAAAUAUAAUUUACUUGUGGUAAAUUGCGUGUAAAGUAUUUUUCCUUCAAUUCGCCCCGAACUCGGAAAUUAAAGUACCCGGCCCCUUCAAUAUUUCCUCGCCAGUAAUGUAUCAUUUUCCUGAUUGUUAUGUAAAUAAAUAUAAUUGAGUUACCAUUAAUUUUAUUUCUAUACGUGCUCUUUUUUACGGUGGAGAUGAGUGGACAUGAUUAUGUUACAGAGUUUGGGGGAAUACAGUACGCAGAAGCCAUCUCCGCCUUUGAUGGACGACUGCUAUAUUUUGAAGAAGAUGCCUCCACAACUACCUAUGAAAAAAAUUGCACUUUUUUUAAAUUUUACUGCACUGGCUAUCACGAUGAAGACGUGUCGGCUUGAUUUAUGUUACAGGAAUUUUGAGGGACACUACGCAGCUGGUAUACCCCUCUUUUAGUCUUUGAUGGACGGCUAUUAUUUCUGAAAAAUAGGCCCCUAGCACCAAAUUAAAAAAAUUUGCAUCUGUGAGGUAGGUUUUCUUGUCACGCAAUCUUUUAAUUGCAUUUGUGCGACAUCCUCCGUCACGAGGGAGACUGCCGACGUGAUUUAUGUUACAGAGUGCCGAAGUGUAUACUACGCGCGCGAUGAUUGCUGAGGGUAAUAUCCGUGAAAAUGCCAUUUAAUGGACACUGUUCCUUUGUUUUAAAAUAAUUGGGUUUAAAAAACAGCAUCAGCUGACAGCCCGCCCAAAUAAAAAAUUAAAAAGCUUAUAAUAAUUUAAUUAAAGAACCCUAUUCCCUUCAUAUACUCUUCAGCGUGUCCAUUUUGUAAAUAUACGCACUCUUCAAUCAUGUUGGGAAGUGGUCUGACUAUGUUACAGAAUUUCGAGAACUAGGUACACCACGCAGGAGGCGCACCCGAUCUCUCGUCAUUCUAUGGACGACUGCUAUAUUUUGUAAAUGAGUGCCCCACGACCAAAGGGACAAAAAUUACAUCUUUGAGGUAGUUAAGCUCAUUUUUGAUUGUCAUGUGCCCUUUUAAUCGUACUUUGUUAAUUUUUGCGGCACCCUCCAUCACGGUGGGGACGUGCCAAUGUGAUUUAUGUUACAGGAUUUUGAGGAGCACACUACGCAGCGAAUAUAGAGCUCCCUUAGUCUUUGAUGGAUGACUGCUAUUUUUGAAAAAUAUGCACCGACCACCAAAUGAAAAAAAUUGCGUCUAUGAGGUAGUCGAGUUAAUUUUCUUUUACAAUACAUUCUUAGAUACCUACCACUGUUCUUAAUCCAUCACGCUGGGGACGUGCCGGGGUGAUUUAUGUUACAGAAUUUCGAGGAGUACCAUACGCAGCGGGAAUGCCGCUAAACUCACCCUUUGUUGGACCACUACUACAUUUGGAAAAGAUUCCCCUAGGUGCAAGUACUACAUGAACGGUUAGAGAAAAUGUGCAUCGUUGAGGUUAAUUUUGAACGUAUUUUUUUUCAAGAAUGCGCUAAAAAUUAACGUAACUACCUCAUAUUAUAUUCGUUAUGGCUGGCUGGCUGUCCGGCAGAGAAUUUUUUCUUGCCAUGCGUCCUUUUGAUUGUACUUUUUAUUAAUUUUGCGCCACCCUCCAUCACGAUAGAGACGUGCGGGCGUGAUUUAUGUUACAGAAUUUCGAGGAGCGCCCUACGCAGCGAGAAUACCGCUCGAUUAGCCUUUAAUGGACGACUGCUACAUGUUGAACAACAACGCCUCCAAGGACAAAUGGAAAGAAAUGCAUCGUUAGGGUGGUUAACCUAAUUUCAUCAUGUCGUGUGCUCUUUUAAUUGCAAUUUUUUUAAACUUUGUGGUACCCUCCGAUCUCCAUCAUGGUGGAGGAUGUACCGACAUGAUUUAUGUUACAGAGUGCCGAAGUGUAUACCACGCGCAGUAGUUCACUCAAUUAGCACACUUUGGAUGAUUGCUGAAUUUUGAAUAAGGAAUAAGAUGACUCCGUCAGGAUACCAUGCACACUUGCUCUUUGUACAAAACUAAUUGGGUUUAAAGAACCGGCCUAAGCUGAAAGCCCUCGCAAAUAAAAAAUUAAAAAGAUUAUAAUUACGAGUAUUUAAUUAAAGAAACCUCUUCCCUUCAUAUACUUUUAUUGUAUCUCUUUCCCAAAUAUGCGUACUGACUAUGUUACAGAAUUUCGAGGAGUACACUAUACAGAGGGUGGUCAGCAUUCUAUGGACUACUGCCCACUAUCAAAUGGAAAAUUUUUGAUUCGUUGCGGUAGUUAAACUAAUAUCUUCUUGUUAUGGACCCUUUUAAUUGCACCCUAUUAAAUCUUACAGCACUCCCCAUUAUAUUAUUUAUGUUACAGGACGAGUUACAGGAUUUGAGGAGCACACUAUGCAGAGGGAUAGCCUUUGAUGAACGACUGCUAUUUUGAGGAGCACCGUACGCAACUGGUACACCGCCCUUCUAGUCUGUGACGGGCAGCUGUUAUUUGAAAAUACCUACCACCAAAUGAAAAAAAAAACCUGCAGCUUUUAUGUCAUUUUUUCAUGUAACGCGCUCUUUUAAUUGCUUUUUUUAAAUUUUGCAGCACCGUCUAUCACGAUGGAGUCGUGCCGACCUGAUUUAUGUUACCGAGUGCCAAAGUGUAUACCACGCGGAGUAUUUCACGCAAUUGACCUACCUUCGAUGAAUGCUGAAUUUUGUAUAAGAAUAUAAGAUUCUAAUUGGGUUUAAAAAAAUCCCGCGCAAAUAAAAAAUUAAAAAGAUUAUAAUAAAGAACCCUCUUCCCUUCAUAUACCUACUUCUCAUUAUGUCUCUAGUUAGUAAAUUUACCCACUUGUGGACGUGACUAUGUUACAGAAUUUCAAGAAGUACACUACGCAGAGGAUGCACCGGGCUCUCAGAAUUCCAUGGACGACUACUGUAAUUUGGAAAUGAUUCUCACACGACCAAAUGGAUAAAACGCGCAUCUUUGAGAUAGUUAAGCCAAAAUUUUUCAUGUGCCCUUUUAAUUGCACUUUUUUUAAAUUUUGUGGCACCUUCCAUCGCGAUGGAGACGGGUCAGCAUGAUUUAUGUUACAGAAUUACGAGGAGCACCUUACGCUUGCUUACCCUUUGAUGGAGGACUGCUACAUUUAAAAAACGCCCCCAAGACCAAAUGGAAAGAAAUGCAUAGUUGGGGUAGUUAUUUCUUCCUUUUAAAUGCAUUUUUUUUAAUUUUACGGCACCAUCCAUCACGGCUAGGACGUGCCGGGGUGAUAUAUUACAGAAUUUCGUGGAGC